AGGAUGAACGCUGGCGGCGUGCUUAACACAUGCAAGUCGAACGGUGAAGCCCAGCUUGCUGGGUGGAUCAGUGGCGAACGGGUGAGUAACACGUGAGCAACCUGCCCCUGACUCUGGGAUAAGCGCUGGAAACGGCGUCUAAUACUGGAUAUGUGACGUGGCCGCAUGGUCUGCGUCUGGAAAGAAUUUCGGUUGGGGAUGGGCUCGCGGCCUAUCAGCUUGUUGGUGAGGUAAUGGCUCACCAAGGCGUCGACGGGUAGCCGGCCUGAGAGGGUGACCGGCCACACUGGGACUGAGACACGGCCCAGACUCCUACGGGAGGCAGCAGUGGGGAAUAUUGCACAAUGGGCGCAAGCCUGAUGCAGCAACGCCGCGUGAGGGAUGACGGCCUUCGGGUUGUAAACCUCUUUUAGCAGGGAAGAAGCGAAAGUGACGGUACCUGCAGAAAAAGCGCCGGCUAACUACGUGCCAGCAGCCGCGGUAAUACGUAGGGCGCAAGCGUUAUCCGGAAUUAUUGGGCGUAAAGAGCUCGUAGGCGGUUUGUCGCGUCUGCUGUGAAAUCCGGAGGCUCAACCUCCGGCCUGCAGUGGGUACGGGCAGACUAGAGUGCGGUAGGGGAGAUUGGAAUUCCUGGUGUAGCGGUGGAAUGCGCAGAUAUCAGGAGGAACACCGAUGGCGAAGGCAGAUCUCUGGGCCGUAACUGACGCUGAGGAGCGAAAGGGUGGGGAGCAAACAGGCUUAGAUACCCUGGUAGUCCACCCCGUAAACGUUGGGAACU
RNAcentral lists this ribosomal RNA (778 nucleotides) under Microbacterium maritypicum. Its description in RNAcentral is "bacterial SSU rRNA". It matches the Rfam family "Bacterial small subunit ribosomal RNA", at positions 26 to 817 of the family's 1533-position model. The record is from RNAcentral. Lineage: Bacteria; Bacillati; Actinomycetota; Actinomycetes; Micrococcales; Microbacteriaceae.